AUAUUUGUGUGCAAAGUUGGCAUCACUACAUAUGCUCAGCUGUUUGUACUUUUAUCUCUUAACAUACUUUAGUUGGUGCUAAAAAUGUUCUUUUUAUAAUUCACCAAAGCAAUUAGGUAUUUGAAAAGAAAUGGGAAAAACAACUUCAACUGAGCGAAUGCGGAAGCAUUGGCAAAAGUGGAAAGACGACCAAGAAUUUUAUGAUAAGAAAUGGAAAGGGACAAGAUGCGUAGAGAAAAUGUGAAGGCUAAAGAGAUGAAAUCAGUUAAGUUGAAGGCAGCAAACAGACGUAAGGAAGCUGAAAGGAAAAGGAAAAAUAGGCAAAAGAUAAAGAAAGACUUGCGUGUUCCUAUUGAUACGACAGACCUGGGCUCUUAUUUGUGUGUGCAAUCUCUUGGCAAAGCUGUGAGAAAAGUUAAGAACUCAUUUCCGAAAAGCCCAACUAAAAAAUCUGUAGUAAUAAAAAAAAUUAGUAUUUAUCAGUUUCCCUGAAACAGCUAAAAAUAUUUUUUCUCACAAUGAAAAUAGAAACAUAUCAGCCCAACAUGCUUUGCCACCACAGCAAAUAGCUCAGAUUCAAUCAUUUUUCGAAAGAGAUGAUGUAAGUCACCAAUCUCCAGGCAUAAAAGAUGUUAAGUCUGGAAAAAAUUCACAGUCUGGAAAAAAGGAAUUGUACCAGAAACGAUUCAUAAACAUGACCGUGAAAGAAGCAUAUAACUUAGCUUCUUUGUGUCUGAGAACCCUCAUGUGAAAGUUAAACUCAAAAUUUUAUGAAUUACGGCCAGCUCACGUUAUUUUAACAAGUGAAAUUUCCCAUAACUUUUGCGUUUGUAAAUAUCAUGCAAACUUCAUGUAGGUACCUCGUGGAAGCUCUUAGUAAGCGAGGUAAAGACUUUCCGAAAAAUUCAUCGGAACUUCUAGAAUGUGUUUGCUGUGAUGUAAAAAGUGAAUCAUGUAUGACAGGUAAAUGUAACGGUUGCAAAGCAGCUCACUGAUUUAUGAUGUUGACCUCCAUACCAAGAUUAUCUGGAAAGAAUGGAUCGAAAUAGAAAUAGACCUAAAUUAGUGGAAAUUGAAGGAACUAUUGAAGCAGCUAUUUCCAAGUUGAAUUCACAGCUGGGCCACUUCAAGAAUCAUGUUUUUGUUAAGCGAACUCAGUCUCAAAAAUUUAAUAACAUGAAGGAAACCCUUAAGGCAGGCGAGGCUGUAUUGCAAAUAGAUUUUGCCGAAAUUUUUUCUGCAGUUCAUCAAGAUGAAAUCCAGUCAGCGCAUUGAAGCCACAAGCAGAUAACAAUAUUUACUGCUUGUGCAUGGCUUCCAGAUGGAGAAAAACGUACCUUCGCACCUGUGAGUGACUCUCUGAAUCACGACAAGUUUGCUGUUUAUGCGUACCUCAAACGAAUUGUAAGUUUAUUAAACCAGGAGUUUAGUUUACAUACCAUCAAGAUAUUUUCUGAUGGUUCAGCAGCCCAAUUUAAGACUAAGUACACAAUUUCAAACCUUACUCACACGAAAGAAGACUUUGGUGUCAUGUGCCAGUGGUUUUUCUUUGCCACUCCCCAUGGCAAAGGAGCUGUAGAUGGAGUAGGGGCUGUAUGGAGCAGAGUGAAGCAGCGAAAAUUACAAGUGCAAAAUGCAGAAGAUUUUGUAACAGCAGCAAUAUCCACAGUAAAAUAUGUUAAAAUACUGCAUGUCACUCAAUCAGAGUUUGAAGAACACGUCGAAAAGCUAAAUGCACGAUGGAAAAAUGUGAUUGCAAUACAGGGGCUACAGUCGCUUCAUUUUUUAGAAGGUCAUGAUAAUGGACAUUUGAUUGUUGGGCACACAUUUCAUUCUGAACAUAUGAAAAGUCAAAUCUUCAAACUAGAAGUCUCGGAAGUCUUCACUGAUUUUGAACCAGACAGUCCAGAAGAAAUUAUGCAGUUAACUGCAAGUUCAAGCAAAGCCACCUUCUUCAGUUUCUGAAAUAGUAGUUGGGCCUUUUUACUUGUUAAAUUCACAGCCACUUCAAGAAAGACUAAUAAUCAAGAAUACAGAUAUGCUGGUAUAGCACAGACUUCCACUGAAGAUGACUGCUCGGUAAAAGUAAUGUUUUUGAGACUCUUUGACAACAGCAAGUAGGUAACUGUUUAAAACUAAUGAAAAUGAUAUUUCUUUUGUUAGCUAUGAUGAUGUUAUUUCAGUGCUACCUACACCAGUACUGAAGAAAGUUAGAAACAGUGUUUUCUACCAAUUUCCUGCAGUUGUUGAUGUAUGUGAAUCAGCAUAAUGUGUGAAGUAGGACAUAGAAAAAAAAAAAGAAUUUUUCAAAAAUAUAAUAUGUAAGUAAGAAUAAUAUGUUGCUAAUGUGUUUUUUUUUUUUGUUUGACAUUAAGUGUAUGAAUUUACUGUGCAUUAUGUAGUCAGGUCUCGCCCAUUUCACAAAAUGUCCCACCCAUGACAUUAAAAAUUUUAAGUAUUUGGUUUAAUGUUAAUAAUCUACCUUGUUUCUUUUAGUACUGUAGCAGUGUAUGUCGCAAACUUUUCCCUUUGCAGAAUUCUAUAUAUAAAUCAUACAGUCCUCUAAUAUUCACAGAAUUUAUAAUAAACAUCCCAACAUGUGGGAAGGUAUGUCUUUUUUUUGUCCCGCCUGUGACGCAAGCUUGAAUAUUUAAUAGGUAACUAAGUUUGAAUGAAUGUCAUUUGUAAAUUAAACCAGGCAUAUUGCAGUACUAUGUUUAUAGUUUUAUGUCAUACGCUUGAAGAGUAAAUAAACCUCACAGGAUGAUAGUUUUACAUACUUUUAACUAUAAAAUUGUACUACAAGUGUCCCACCUGACACUGGAAUGCCCCAUCAGUAAGUUCACUGUGUGUGUAAAGGUUUUGAUACUACAUAUAUUUAGUGUGGAAUUUUAUUAAUAAUGAAAAUAGAUUUGUACACAAUCUCACCCCUCCUAAAGAUGUCUGCAGAACCCGAAGAUCAAGUUACAGCUAGUAUCUAACAGUCGGAGGGUGAAAACGAACAGGCCAAUUUACUGUGGAAAACCGUCUAAGCUACAUUACCUAAUAAAGAAAAAAUAAA
Long non-coding RNA from Bacillus rossius redtenbacheri, 3061 nucleotides. RefSeq lists it as uncharacterized. Lineage: Eukaryota; Metazoa; Arthropoda; Insecta; Phasmatodea; Bacillidae. The record is from RefSeq and is a predicted model, not a curated record. The transcript is spliced from 2 exons.